UUAGCAACGGUGUCGCGUUGUUACGGUUGCUAUGUUGCGGUACAACUGCUGAUCCCCACCGGUCAUAAGUGUGUGAGACUGGAUUUUCACCGAAGUGCAAAAAUAAUACCGAAAUAUACGUGAGAAUAUUAUAUAAAAAUCCGCCGGGGCGCCCCGAUGGCGAGGGGAGACCGCAGGAAGAGGGCGGACAGGUCCCCGCUGGAGGUCUCCUUCCACCAGCUGACCGGGAGCAGCUCCAGCGUGCUGUCCGAGCCGCCGCCGCCCCCGGGGGACAGCGAGGACGGCCUGUCCUCCGCGGGGUCGCCGCCGGCCAGCACCGGCCGCGCCCCGGGACCCCCGCGACCCCCGGAGACACAGGAGGAGCCGGUCCUUCCUCAGGUCAUUGUGGAGCGGUAUGAAGGAGAAAAGGUCCACGGCCUCUAUCACGGAGAAGGAACGGCAUAUUUUCAAGGGGGUCAUGUCUACAAGGGCAUGUUUUCAGAAGGACUGAUGCACGAGCAGGGGACCUACACCUGGGCUGACGGAGUUCAAUACCAGGGCGAUUUCCAAGCGAACGUGCCCACGGGACACGGGGUUUACACGUGGCCCGACGGCGGCUGCUACGAGGGCCAGGUGUGGAACGGGAUGCGUCACGGAGUGGGCACACACAGGUGCGGCGGCAGCACCGCCUCCUACACGGGCCGCUGGCACCUGGGCAAGCGCCACGGCAAGGGAGCAAUUUACUACAACGCUGAAGGAACGUCGUGGUAUGAAGGAGACUGGGUGGACAACGUCAGGGAAGGCUGGGGCGUGAGAUGCUACAGCUCGGGGAAUGUUUACGAGGGGCAGUGGAAGAGCAGCGCCCGGCACGGCCGGGGCACGAUGAGGUGGCCGGCGCUGCGCCAGCAGUACAGCGGCCAGUGGGCAGACGGCAUACAGCAGGGCCAGGGGACGCACACGUGGUUCCUGAAGCGCGUGCCGGGCUCGCAGUACCCCUUGCGGAAUGAGUACGUGGGGGAGUUCGCGAGUGGCCUGCGCCACGGCCACGGCCGGUUCUACUACGCCAGCGGGGCGCUGUACGAUGGACACUGGCAGUUCAAUAAAAAACACGGCCAGGGAAAGUUCGUCUUCAAGAACGGCCGGGUGUUUGAAGGCGAGUUCGUCGAUGACCACAUGGCCGAGUUUCCAGGCUUCUCCAUGGACGGCACAAGCACCCCUGACCUCAGUGGCAUCAGAACUCAUACUCCCCCUUGUGGCGAAGGCGAAAGCGUGAAGAGACCAGGCGGUGUCUCCUCUGUGCUGGGGCCUGACAUGGCUCUAGACCUGCACUUUCUGCUAGAGAGGCUCCCUGCAGCAGGCCGAGACGCCGAGCGGAAACAGGUGGAGUUUGCCAUUCUGAGGCACGUGGCGGAGCUGAGGAGGGUGUACAGCUUUUACAGCAGCCUGGGCUACGAGCACUCGCCCGACAACACCUUCCUGCUGACCCGCCUGCAGUUCUGGAGGCUGCUGAAGGACUGCAGGAUCCAGCAGCGCCAGGUCACCCUGGCCCAGGCCGACCGGCUGCUCGCUGAAAACAGUGCACCCGAAGAGAUUCAUUCCCCGUUUGACACCGUGCUUCUCAGGACAUUCCUCAGUAACAUAGUGGUGCUAGCCUACCACAUGUACAACAAAGAGAUUGAGUCACAAGGCUCUGUUUUAGCAUCCUGUUUUUCAAAGUUGGUGAGAGACAACAUCAUUCCUCAUGCAAGGAACGUGAAAGGUAAUUUCUUCAGCAACCACCUGUGUGCUGUUGUUGCUGUGAACUACAUGGAGAAGUGCUGGGAGAUACACAAGGCCUACUGCAAGCAGAGCUCCAAGGCUCCCUUCGAGCCCACGAUGAACAUGCGGGACUUCAUGUGGAUGUUGAAGGAUCUAAAUCUCUAUAGUGAAGAGCUGACAACUGGGAAGGUCCUGGAGAUUCUUGCUGCUGAAAGCCCUGCAGCCUACGAUGGAACCUACAGUAACCUAGAACUGGAGAUGACUUUCCUGGAGUUCUUUGAAGCCCUGCUGGGUUGUGCAGAGGUGAGCAUCCCGAGAGUGACUAGGACCCUGUCCGAGAGCCUCCUGGAUGAUUGGAAAUCAGGGGGCUUGACCAAGGAGCCCCCCAGAGGGGACCGCAGGGAGAGCCCCACUCAGCGUGGCACGCUGCCACCUUCUGCUCAGGCCGUCACACAGGACGGGGCACAUAAAGAAGACGGCCCAGCUCAGAACGAGCUCCCCCUAAAGUCAUCCAGCAUCCACGGCACAUCUCAAUCAAGCGCAGCAAAGAAAUCUGAGGCAAGAAAAUCCAAAGAGCUGCUUAAACCGUCCGAGUCUGAAGAAAGAGAUCUUAAGCAAAGUGGGAAAUCUGUGUCAAACCCUAAAACACAGCCAGGACACCCAGCUGGUGCGAGCAGCGGUCCGGCCCCCCAGUCCGCGCACUCCCACUCCGCUGGUAGUGGACGGGAUGGCAUAGGGGGCGCCGCCGAGCUGGUGCGCUCCAUGCCUGCCCUGCACCCCGAGCAGCCCAGCUCUCCACCGCAGCAUGGCUCAGAGGACGGCGAGGACAGCACCAGUGAGCCGGAGAGCGAGCUCGAGUGCUGGAUACAGCAGAUGCGCAUCUUCUUUACCCAGAAGCUGUUCCCCUCGUACGAGCACAGCCUGCUGGUGAAGAGGGAGGUGGCGGAGGAGCGCGGGCGGCGGGCGGUGCGGGCCAGGAUGGCGAAGGCCAGAGUGGAAGAAGCAGCCAGGCUGAAGGAGCUGCUGGAGGCGGAAGACGAGAGGCGCCACCGGGAGGAAGAGGAGGAGGAAGAAGGGGACGAGAGGGCCGAGGGCCAGGAGGAAGAUGCCAGCCUCACCCCGUCUCCCGUGGCCGUGGCCGUGGCCUCGGCCCCCAGCAUCACCAAGCCCUCCCCCAGCAGCGGGAGGCGGAAGAGAAAGUUUUAGAACACAAGGACGCGACAACUUCUUCACGAGCAGUGCCUUAGAGCAGACGUCCCCGAGAUGGGAGAGGCCUGGGUGUCUCCGUUUCCCAAGCCCCGACACUGACCCCGAUAUCCUGCGGUUGACGUUGUACUGCUCGCAGAUGUCGGACGCCAGCAGAGUGAGCUGCGGCCCCACCAGGCUGUCCAGCUGCUCACAGAACUCCCUGGUGAGCUCCACGGACGCUGCAGGGGACAGGAACACAGGCGGACACACGGCCAUCAGAGAGGCUGACCCACCCCUCCCUCCCCACUGCGCUGUGGCCUGGGACGGCGCCUUCUGGAGCCUCCGCAUCGAGAGAAAACCCCAGGGCAGACUGGCCUGUCCCCACUUCCACUCCAGGGAAGACGUUUAUUUUAAACUAGACAGGAAAUACUGAACUCCGAGUGCGAAUC
Lepisosteus oculatus (spotted gar) is the source of this 3374-nucleotide non-coding RNA. Lineage: Eukaryota; Metazoa; Chordata; Actinopteri; Semionotiformes; Lepisosteidae. The record is from RefSeq and is a predicted model, not a curated record.